This 632-nucleotide ribosomal RNA is filed under the name metal-contaminated soil clone K20-11. RNAcentral's name for it is "bacterial SSU rRNA". It matches the Rfam family "Bacterial small subunit ribosomal RNA", at positions 56 to 669 of the family's 1533-position model. The record is from RNAcentral. Lineage: Bacteria; Pseudomonadati; Acidobacteriota.
UGCAAGUCGAACGCGAAAGCCCGCAAGGGGUAAGUAGAGUGGCAAACGGGUGAGUAACACGUGGGUGACCUGCCUUAGAGUGGGGGAUAACGUCCCGAAAGGGACGCUAAUACCGCAUAACAUCCUGCCUUUGAAGAGGUGGAGAUCAAAGCUGGGGACCGCAAGGCCUGGCGCUCAAAGAGGGGCCCGCGCCUGAUUAGCUAGUUGGUGAGGUAAUGGCUCACCAAGGCAACGAUCAGUAUCCGGCCUGAGAGGGCGGACGGACACACUGGGACUGAGACACGGCCCAGACUCCUACGGGAGGCAGCAGUGGGGAAUUGUUCGCAAUGGGCGCAAGCCUGACGACGCAACGCCGCGUGGAGGAUGAAGACCUUCGGGUCGUAAACUCCUUUCGAUCGAGACGAACAGCCAUCGGAUGAACAAUCCGGAGGUCUGACGGUACCGAGAGAAGAAGCCCCGGCUAACUCCGUGCCAGCAGCCGCGGUAAUACGGGGGGGCAAGCGUUGUUCGGAAUUACUGGGCGUAAAGGGCUCGUAGGUGGCCAACUAAGUCAGACGUGAAAUCCCUCGGCUUAACCGGGGAACUGCGUCUGAUACUGGAUGGCUUGAGUUCGGGAGAAGGAUGCGGAAUUC